RNAcentral lists this small nucleolar RNA (85 nucleotides) under Propithecus coquereli (Coquerel's sifaka). RNAcentral's name for it is "Small nucleolar RNA SNORD35 (ENSPCOG00000007668.1)". It matches the Rfam family "Small nucleolar RNA SNORD35". Rfam says of the family: U35 is a C/D box snoRNA located in intron 6 of ribosomal protein L13A and intron 3 of ribosomal protein S11 in humans and at homologous positions in mouse and chicken ribosomal protein genes. U35 guides the methylation of 2'-O-ribose sites in 28S rRNA. Lineage: Eukaryota; Metazoa; Chordata; Mammalia; Primates; Indriidae. The record is from Rfam by way of RNAcentral.
CAGCUAAUGUCUUUUCUCUCAUGAUGGUCUGCGAAUGUCCUGCAGGCAGUGCUGACAAUGCCAAUGAUUCAGCUGAACUGGGGAA